This 255-nucleotide ribosomal RNA is filed under the name uncultured bacterium. RNAcentral's name for it is "partial 16S ribosomal RNA". It matches the Rfam family "Bacterial small subunit ribosomal RNA", at positions 524 to 778 of the family's 1533-position model. The record is from RNAcentral.
UACGGGGGGGGCAAGCGUUGUUCGGAAUUACUGGGCGUAAAGGGCUCGUAGGCGGCCAACUAAGUCAAACGUGAAAUCCCUCGGCUUAACCGGGGAACUGCGUCUGAUACUGGAUGGCUUGAGUUUGGGAGAGGGAUGCGGAAUUCCAGGUGUAGCGGUGAAAUACGUAGAUAUCUGGAGGAACACCGGUGGCGAAGGCGGCAUCCUGGACCAACACUGACGCUGAGGAGCGAAAGCCAGGGGAGCAAAACGGGG